RNAcentral lists this ribosomal RNA (426 nucleotides) under uncultured bacterium. RNAcentral's name for it is "partial 16S ribosomal RNA". It matches the Rfam family "Bacterial small subunit ribosomal RNA", at positions 354 to 796 of the family's 1533-position model. The record is from RNAcentral.
GUGAGGAAUUUUCCGCAAUGGGCGAAAGCCUGACGGAGCAAUGCCGCGUGAAGGAUGAAGGCCUAUGGGUUGUAAACUUCUUUUCUCAGAAAAGAAUUAUGACGGUAUCUGAGGAAUAAGCAUCGGCUAACUCUGUGCCAGCAGCCGCGGUAAGACAGAGGAUGCAAGCGUUAUCCGGAAUGAUUGGGCGUAAAGCGUCUGUAGGUUGUUUAAAAAGUAUUCUGUCAAAGAUUAGGGCUUAACCAUAGAUAGGCAGAAUAAUCUUGUAAGCUAGAGUUUGGUAGAGGCAGAGGGAAUUCCCGGUGGAGCGGUGAAAUGCGUAGAAAUCGGGAGGAACACCAAAGGCGAAGGCACUCUGCUGGGCCAAUACUAACACUGAGAGACGAAAGCGAGGGGAGCAAAUGGGAUUAGAAACCCUGGUAGUCC